RNAcentral lists this ribosomal RNA (312 nucleotides) under Mesorhizobium sp. Its description in RNAcentral is "bacterial SSU rRNA". It matches the Rfam family "Bacterial small subunit ribosomal RNA", at positions 10 to 320 of the family's 1533-position model. The record is from RNAcentral. Lineage: Bacteria; Pseudomonadati; Pseudomonadota; Alphaproteobacteria; Hyphomicrobiales; Phyllobacteriaceae.
AGUUUGAUCAUGGCUCAGAUUGAACGCUGGCGGCAGGCCUAACACAUGCAAGUCGGACGGUAGCACAGAGAGCUUGCUCUUGGGUGACGAGUGGCGGACGGGUGAGUAAUGUCUGGGGAUCUGCCCGAUAGAGGGGGAUAACCACUGGAAACGGUGGCUAAUACCGCAUAACGUCGCAAGACCAAAGAGGGGGACCUUCGGGCCUCUCACUAUCGGAUGAACCCAGAUGGGAUUAGCUAGUAGGCGGGGUAAUGGCCCACCUAGGCGACGAUCCCUAGCUGGUCUGAGAGGAUGACCAGCCACACUGGAACU